This 253-nucleotide ribosomal RNA is filed under the name uncultured Eubacteriales bacterium. RNAcentral describes it as "uncultured Clostridiales bacterium partial 16S ribosomal RNA". It matches the Rfam family "Bacterial small subunit ribosomal RNA", at positions 524 to 776 of the family's 1533-position model. The record is from RNAcentral. Lineage: Bacteria; Bacillati; Bacillota; Clostridia; Eubacteriales.
UACGUAGGGGGCAAGCGUUAUCCGGAUUUACUGGGUGUAAAGGGAGCGUAGACGGCUGGCCAAGUCUGAAGUGAAAGCCCGGGGCUUAACCCCGGAACGGCUUUGGAAACUGGCCGGCUGGAGUACUGGAGAGGAAAGUGGAAUUCCUAGUGUAGCGGUGAAAUGCGUAGAUAUUAGGAGGAACACCGGUGGCGAAGGCGGCUUACUGGACUGUAACUGACGUUGAGGCUCGAAAGCGUGGGGAGCAAACAGG